UGCAGUCGAGCGGGGGAGGUUGCUUCGGUAACUGACCUAGCGGCGGACGGGUGAGUAAUGCUUAGGAAUCUGCCUAUUAGUGGGGGACAACAUUCCGAAAGGAAUGCUAAUACCGCAUACGCCCUACGGGGGAAAGCAGGGGAUCUUCGGACCUUGCGCUAAUAGAUGAGCCUAAGUCGGAUUAGCUAGUUGGUGGGGUAAAGGCCUACCAAGGCGACGAUCUGUAGCGGGUCUGAGAGGAUGAUCCGCCACACUGGGACUGAGACACGGCCCAGACUCCUACGGGAGGCAGCAGUGGGGAAUAUUGGACAAUGGGCGCAAGCCUGAUCCAGCCAUGCCGCGUGUGUGAAGAAGGCCUUUUGGUUGUAAAGCACUUUAAGCGAGGAGGAGGCUCCUUUAGUUAAUACCUAAAGAGAGUGGACGUUACUCGCAGAAUAAGCACCGGCUAACUCUGUGCCAGCAGCCGCGGUAAUACAGAGGGUGCGAGCGUUAAUCGGAUUUACUGGGCGUAAAGCGUGCGUAGGCGGCUUUUUAAGUCGGAUGUGAAAUCCCUGAGCUUAACUUAGGAAUUGCAUUCGAUACUGGAAAGCUAGAGUAUGGGAGAGGAUGGUAGAAUUCCAGGUGUAGCGGUGAAAUGCGUAGAGAUCUGGAGGAAUACCGAUGGCGAAGGCAG
RNAcentral lists this ribosomal RNA (673 nucleotides) under uncultured bacterium. RNAcentral describes it as "bacterial SSU rRNA". It matches the Rfam family "Bacterial small subunit ribosomal RNA", at positions 56 to 724 of the family's 1533-position model. The record is from RNAcentral.